AUACGAAGGGGGCUAGCGUUGUUCGGAAUUACUGGGCGUAAAGCGCGCGUAGGCGGAUUGGUCAGUUAGGGGUGAAAUCCCAGGGCUUAACCCUGGAACUGCCUCUAAUACUGCCAGUCUUGAGUUCGGGAGAGGUGAGUGGAAUUCCUAGUGUAGAGGUGAAAUUCGUAGAUAUUAGGAAGAACACCGGUGGCGAAGGCGGCUCACUGGCCCGAUACUGACGCUGAGGCGCGAAAGCGUGGGGAGCAAACAGGAUUAGAAACCCUAGUAGUCC
This 274-nucleotide ribosomal RNA is filed under the name uncultured bacterium. RNAcentral's name for it is "partial 16S ribosomal RNA". It matches the Rfam family "Bacterial small subunit ribosomal RNA", at positions 523 to 796 of the family's 1533-position model. The record is from RNAcentral.